GAUGAACGCUGGCGGCGUGCUUAACACAUGCAAGUCGAACGAUUAAAGCCCCUUCGGGGGUGUAUAGAGUGGCGAACGGGUGAGUAACACGUGGGCAACUUGCCCCUCACUUCGGGAUAACUCAGGGAAACCUGAGCUAAUACCGGAUACUCCGGGAUGGUCGCAUGGCCGACCCGGGAAAGUUCCGGCGGUGAGGGAUGGGCCCGCGGCCCAUUAGCUUGUUGGUGAGGUAAUGGCUCACCAAGGCGACGAUGGGUAGCCGAGCUGAGAGGCUGAUCGGCCACACUGGGACUGAGACACGGCCCAGACUCCUACGGGAGGCAGCAGUGGGGAAUCUUGCGCAAUGGGCGAAAGCCUGACGCAGCAACGCCGCGUGCGGGAUGAAGGCCUUCGGGUUGUAAACCGCUUUCAGCAGGGACGAAAAUGACUGUACCUGCAGAAGAAGCCCCGGCUAACUACGUGCCAGCAGCCGCGGUAAUACGUAGGGGGCAAGCGUUAUCCGGAUUCAUUGGGCGUAAAGAGCGCGUAGGCGGCUUGUUAAGCGAGAUGUGAAAACCGGGGGCUUAACCCGCGGCCUGCAUCUCGAACUGGCAGGCUUGAGUCUGGUAGAGGAAAGUGGAAUUCCCAGUGUAGCGGUGAAAUGCGCAGAUAUUGGGAGGAACACCAGUGGCGAAGGCGGCUUUCUGGGCCACGACUGACGCUGAGGCGCGAAAGCUAGGGGAGCGAACAGGAUUAGAUACCCUGGUAGUCCUAGCCGUAAACGAUGGGCACUAGGUGUGGGGGGUUAUCAACUCCCUCCGUGCCGCAGCUAACGCAUUAAGUGCCCCGCCUGGGGAGUACGGCCGCAAGGCUAA
This 854-nucleotide ribosomal RNA is filed under the name uncultured Actinomycetes bacterium. RNAcentral's name for it is "bacterial SSU rRNA". It matches the Rfam family "Bacterial small subunit ribosomal RNA", at positions 28 to 897 of the family's 1533-position model. The record is from RNAcentral. Lineage: Bacteria; Bacillati; Actinomycetota; Actinomycetes.